This 596-nucleotide ribosomal RNA is filed under the name Apiotrichum domesticum. RNAcentral's name for it is "LSU rRNA". It matches the Rfam family "Eukaryotic large subunit ribosomal RNA", at positions 62 to 648 of the family's 3401-position model. Lineage: Eukaryota; Fungi; Basidiomycota; Tremellomycetes; Trichosporonales; Trichosporonaceae. The record is from RNAcentral.
AAACUAACAAGGAUUCCCCUAGUAACGGCGAGUGAACCGGGAAAAGCUCAAAUUUGAAAUCUGGCUGUCUUCGAUAGUCCGAGUUGUAAUCUAUAGAAGCGUUUUCCGUGCUGAACUGUGUCUAAGUCCCUUGGAACAGGGUAUCAAAGAGGGUGAUAAUCCCGUACUUGACACAACAAUCAGUGCUCUGUGAUACGUUCUCUACGAGUCGAGUUGUUUGGGAAUGCAGCUCAAAAUGGGUGGUAAAUUCCAUCUAAAGCUAAAUAUUGGCGAGAGACCGAUAGCGAACAAGUACCGUGAGGGAAAGAUGAAAAGCACUUUGGAAAGAGAGUUAAACAGUACGUGAAAUUGUUGAAAGGGAAACGAUUGAAGUCAGUCGUGUUCAUUGGAUUCAGCUAGUUCUUCUAGUCUACUUCCUUUGAACGGGUCAACAUCAGUUUUGUCCGGUGGAUAAAGGAUUUAGGAAUGUAACUCCCUCGGGAGUGUUAUAGCCUAGGUUCACAUACACUGGGUGAGACUGAGGACUGCAGCUCGCCUUUUGGCCGGGGUUCGCCCACGUUCGAGCUUAGGAUGUUGACAUAAUGGCUUUAAACGAC